CCUCAGUAGCGGCGAGUGAGCGGCAAAAGCUCAAAUUUGAAAUCUGGCGCCUUCGGCGUCCGAGUUGUAAUUUGAAGAAGCUACUCUGGAACUAGUCCCUGUCUAUGUUCCUUGGAACAGGACGUCAUAGAGGGUGAGAAUCCCGUCUGGCGGGGGUGCUAGUUCUUUGUAGAGUGCUUUCGACGAGUCGAGUUGUUUGGGAAU
Molecule: ribosomal RNA, 204 nt
Filed under: Eremothecium cymbalariae
Lineage: Eukaryota; Fungi; Ascomycota; Saccharomycetes; Saccharomycetales; Saccharomycetaceae
Description: partial 26S ribosomal RNA
Rfam family: Eukaryotic large subunit ribosomal RNA
Source: RNAcentral